RNAcentral lists this unclassified non-coding RNA (1725 nucleotides) under Hevea brasiliensis (rubber tree). The record is from RNAcentral. Lineage: Eukaryota; Viridiplantae; Streptophyta; Magnoliopsida; Malpighiales; Euphorbiaceae.
AAAUAAAAAAAAAAAUAAAAAUAGAAAGCAGUGUCAUUGCUUUCUCCACCCAAUCCACUACAGCACCCCUCUACUGGUCCUUUCCAUUCACAUUUCCAUUUUUCCGCCGUUAAAUUGCUGAACCAUUCUUCAGAGAGAGAGAGAAUCUCCAAGAAUGGUUUUCUCUUUGGUUAUAUCACCAUCACCUGCCCUCUUCCUUCCAAGAAAACUUCCUAAUCUUCGCCGCUCCAAACCUCCACUAUCAAUUCACUCUUCUGCUUCUUCUUCUUCUUCUUCUUCUUCUAUUUCUAUGUCCGUUUCAGGCAAUUCGAAAUCGACCCAGUUCGAUUUGAAGACUUAUUGGAUGACCCUUAUAUCAGAGAUCAACCAGAAGCUUGAUCAGGCUAUUCCGAUUCAAUACCCAGAGGAGAUCUAUGAGGCCAUGAGAUAUUCCGUGCUCGCAAAGCGGACCAAGCGAGCCCCGCCUGUCAUGUGUAUUGCUGCCUGUGAGCUCUUCGGUGGUAAUCGCCUCGCUGCCUUCCCUACUGCAUGUGCUCUUGAAAUGGUCCAUGCAGCUUCUUUGAUUCAUGAUGAUCUUCCCUGCAUGGAUGAUGCCCCAUCACGUCGAGGCCAGCCCUCAAACCAUGCAGUCUAUGGGGUUGACAAGGCAAUCCUUGCUGGGGAUGCACUGUUCCCUCUUGGCUUCCGACACAUUGUCUCCAACACACCCUCAGAUCUUGUUCCAGAGCCUCGCCUUCUCCGUGUGAUUGCUGAGAUUGCUCGUGCUGUGGGGUCCACGGGAAUGGCUGCUGGUCAGUUCCUUGACCUCGAGGGUAGCCUAAAUUCUGUAGAGUUUGUUCAAGAGAAAAAAUAUGGUGAAAUGGGUGAGUGUUCUGCAGUGUGCGGAGGAUUGUUGGCUGGUGCUGAAGAUGAUGAGAUACAAAGAUUGAGGAGGUAUGGAAGAGCUGUUGGGGUAUUAUAUAAAGUGAUUGAUGAUGUAUUGGAAGCAAAAUCAAUGAGUAAGGAAGAUGAGGAGAAUGAGAAAAGAAAAGCGAAAAGUUAUGUCAGUUUAUAUGGGGUUGAGAAGGCAGUGGAGGUUGCAGAAGAGCUGAGAACCAAGGCUAAGAAGGAAUUGGAUGGGUUUGAGAAGUAUGGGGAGAGUGUCCAGCCACUAUAUAACUUUGUUGAUUAUGCAGCUGAUAGAGGUUUCAGUGUUUUAGAGUUGAAUUGAUGAUGGUGUUUUAGGUCCUAUUCUGGUGGGAGAAUCUUAUAUUUAGGAGUAACUUAUGGAUUGGAUGGAUGGAAAGUAUGGCAUACCACCAUUGGCAUUAAUAUUUUGAUGGUUCAUCAUGCUGUUGUAGGUGAAGUUCUUAUAACUGUAGUUGAAUUCUACUGGUUUUCCUCCCUUGGCUUUUCGGCUACAAAAAUCCCAGAUGGUGGCAAGGACGAUGAGAUAACGACAGCAACCAUUGUGUGAUUUUCCCAUAUGAAUGUUCGGUUAAGACUUCUCAGGGUCCAAGUUUGAUAGGUCUUGCACCAUUUCCCUUACGGGAAAGUGCUUUCGCUGAUUACGUAAAUUGAAGUUGUUGUGUCGAUCAAUAAUUUGGGUGAGGAAACAAGGAGAUAGAAAGGACAAGCCGCAUUAGUAAAGAUGACAUAUCAUUAGCUUUCCCGUGUAUUCAAUUGAAGACGAUCAUGUAUUGCCUUGUUUAUUGGCUCGAAAAUUAUGCAUUAUUUAGAUUGGGG